Molecule: non-coding RNA, 29 nt
Filed under: Mus musculus (house mouse)
Lineage: Eukaryota; Metazoa; Chordata; Mammalia; Rodentia; Muridae
Source: RNAcentral
UGGACCCUCUUACAUUUAUGCUCCCAGCC